GAUGAAGAACGUAGCAAAAUGCGAUAAGUAGUGUGAAUUGCAGAAUUCAGUGAAUCAUCGAAUCUUUGAACGCACAUUGCGCCUCCUGGUAUUCCGGGAGGCAUGCCUGUUCGAGCGUCAUUAAAAUCACUCAAGCUUAGGUUUACCUAUUGCUUGGUCUUGGAGAUGGAAGCCAAUUCAUUGGAAUCCUCUUCGAAAUCCAAUGGCGAAGACCCUUGCUCUCCCAAGUGUAGUAAUAACUUAUGUCACUGAAGGAAGCGAGAAAUCUUCCGCCGUAACCCCCAUAUUUUCUAUGAUUGACCUCGGAUCAGGUAGGGAUACCCGCUGAACUUAAGCAUAUCAAUAAGCGGAGGA
RNAcentral lists this unclassified non-coding RNA (354 nucleotides) under soil metagenome. Its description in RNAcentral is "partial contains 5.8S ribosomal RNA, internal transcribed spacer 2, and large subunit ribosomal RNA". The stretch from base 1 to 120 matches the Rfam family "5.8S ribosomal RNA", at positions 35 to 154 of the family's 154-position model. The record is from RNAcentral.